Molecule: unclassified non-coding RNA, 3055 nt
Filed under: Orbicella faveolata
Lineage: Eukaryota; Metazoa; Cnidaria; Anthozoa; Scleractinia; Merulinidae
Description: uncharacterized LOC110043871, transcript variant X1
Source: RNAcentral
GUUUAGAUUUCCAGUUAGUGUUACUUCACCUCCAUAUUUUUCAAGUUCUGAGUCAAAAAAUCUUUUCCAGCUUCCAUUGUUUUCCUUAUCUAGAUACUUCUUUAUCCAUGUGGCUUUGAGAGAUCUAUUAAAGGAGGUUAUAUCACUCAUUUUAAGUCCCCCUUCUGAGUAAUCAUUAAUCAUUACCUUUCUUUUUAUUUUGUCGCCUUUGUCAUUCCAUAAGAAGUUGUAAAACAUUACAUUUAUCUCCUUUAUUGCUGUAUGAUUUGUUUGCAGAGGAGAAAAAAUAUAUACCAGCUGUGAAGUUAUGAGGCUUUUUAAAACAGUAAUUUUACCUAAAAGGCCAAGUCUGCGAAGUUUCCAGGAUCACAAUGUUCUGGUUACUUUUCAAAGUGGUACAAGUAUUGAAAUUAUGUUUUUUUUUACAACACACAGGUACUGAUGAAGAGCUUCAUGUGACCGUCUGUACUGUGUAUCUUGAAUCAAGAUGGAGGAUGCUGUCCCUUCACCCCUGGCCAGCUCUGUAGAGAAGAGAAAUAGAGCCAAGCUGAUCAGACUUCUUACUGAAGGCGGAGCAAUGGCUCUCAGGGAGAUUUUUGAUAGGAUUUUUGAUAGGAUUUAUCCCCUGACAAAUCUAAGGGAUAAACUCAAAGCAAACUAUGACAUUCUGCGUAACCUCCUCAGCAGAAAGGUGUUAUCUCGACAUCGGUGGAAUCUACUGUUUGCACCUGGUGAAGCUGGACCAGACUCCAAAACAUUUGAUAUUUCUCUACUAUUCCUCCUUCUGACCAAUACAUGUGAACUAUCCCCUCCCCCAUCAGGUUGGCACACUGAGCCAGUCUCAAGUGACACUUCCCUAGAGGCAAACCUUGCUCGUGUUAAAUAUUUCCAUGAUAUGUUGCUUGGUCAUGUGUCUACCAGUGGUGUCAAGACACCAACUUUCAAUGCUUUGUGGCAGAAAAUUACUGCUGUUCUUUUGGCCCUUGGGUUGAAUCCAGUAGAAAUUUACAGGUUAGAGGCUGAGCGUUGGGGGAAGGAAGAUUAUUAUGAUGUGGAGCAUGACUGGGCCGAUUUUGUGUCAUCGAUUGAGAUGACUGCUUCUGCACCUUCCCCCUUGGCCAGCUCUGUAGAGAAGACAAAUCAAGCCAAGCUGAGCAUACUUGUUAUUGAUGGUGGAACAAUGGCUCUUAGGAAGAUUUUCGAUAGGAUUCUUUCCCCGGAAUAUCUAUCGGAUAAACUCUAUGCAAACUAUCACACUCUGAAGAACCUCUUUAGGAUCAACGUUAUAUCUAAACAUCAGUGGGAUCUACUCUUCCCACCUGGUGGAACCACACCAGAUUCCAAAACAUUUGAUAUUACCCUUCUGUUCUUUCUUCUGACUAAGUUUUGUGGACUACGCCCUCCCUCCUCAGAUUGGCACAAUAUGCCAGACCCAAUGGACACUUCCCAAGGGGCAAACCUUGUUCGCGUUAGGUUUUUCCGCAAUACGUUGUAUGGUCAUGCGUCUCCCAGUGGUGUUGAUACACCAACUUUCAAUGCUUUGUGGCAGGAAAUUAGUGCUGUUCUUGUUGCUCUUGGGUUGGAUCAGGCAGAAAUUGAUAGGUUAAAGGCAGAGCGUUGGGGGAAGGAAGAUUACCGUGAUGUGGAGCACGACAUGGUAGUUAGUGUAACUUCCACUGACAUGGCUGCUGCAGCACCUUCACCCCUGGCCAUCUCUGAAGAGAAGACAAAUGGCGCCAAGCUUAGGAGACUUCUUAUUGACGGCGGAACAACGGUUCUAAGGAAUGUCUUUGAUAGAUAUCAUCCUCCUGCAAACCUGGCUGCUGGUCUUUAUUUAAACUAUGCUACUCUGGACAGUCUUUUGCAGAGAGAAGUUUUACUUAAACCGCGGUGGGAUCUACUGUUCCCACCUGGUGGAGCUACCCCAGAUUCCAAAACAUUUGAUAUCUACCUACUAUUCCACCUUUUGACCAACAUAUGCCGACUAUCCCCUCCUCCGUCAGGUUGGCACAAUAUGCCAGACCCAAUGGACACUUCCCUUAAAGCAAACCUUGUUCGCGUUAAGUUUUUCCGCAAUAAGUUGUAUGCUCAUGUGCCUACCACUGGUGUUGAUACACCAACUUUCAAUGCUUUGUGGCAGGAAGUUAGUGCUGUUCUUGUUGCUCUGGGAUUGAAUCAGGUAGAAAUUGAUAGGCUAAAGGCCGAGCGUUGGGGGAACGAAGAUUACCGUAGUGUACAACAUGACUUGGCCGAUAGUCCAGAGGAUAUCAAGACACAGCUGAGAAUCCACACCCAUCCAUAUCGUGCUAAGAGUGUUACGAGUGUUCGUCAGACCCAACUAGAAGUCCGUGAAACACUUCAGGAUAGAAAGUUAAAAGUGGAUGAAGUUCUCCACGCCAAAACCAAGACACAGUCAAAACUGCAAGAGCUGCAUCAGACUCAGACCAAAACGCAGCAAGUUAUUCAAGGAGAAAUGAAGACCCAAGAAGAGCUCGACAAGUUAGAGUUCAUACGGGACACUGACUAUCAUGUAGCACGAUACCAACAAGGCACUCAUGAGUGGGUGUUUAACGAAGCUGAAAAUUGGUUAGACGACAGAAGCUUGGCCGAGUUUGGAUAUGCUGAAGAGCUGUCUGACAAGGACGAUGAUAAUUCUGAGAAAGACGUCGAUGACCACGACAAUGGCAGCGAUAAUUAUGAUGAUGACAGAACUGAUGGUAUCAAAGAUAUCACGAAGCAGUUACUACAGUUUGGAAUUAAAGAGCAAGAAAUGGAGGAGCCAGAGAAUCCGUAUGAACAAGAACCAGACAAAAUAAAGAUACACGAAUGGUGAAACCUAGUGGAAAUUUGUGACGGAGAAGAUGGCGUGAAAAUAGCGUAAGUAUAUGAAAAUUCACUAUUAUUUUUCCUCGAGUUUUUGUGUUUUUGGUUGGUUGCAACACAUUGUUAAAUAAUUAACUGCCUUGUUUUCUUUUUUUGCCCGAAUGAACCCGCCCAAGCCACACAUGGAUGACUAAGAAUUAUCAGGAUGGGCAAGAUUUGCAGAAGAAGAAAA